GAUGAACGCUGGCGGCGUGCCUAAUACAUGCAAGUCGAACGGAUAGCGAAAGGUGCUUGCACCUUCCAGGUUAGUGGCGAACGGGGGAGUAACAGGGUGACAACCUCUCUCAAGGCGGGGGAUAACAGGUGGAAACAGAUACUAAUAGCUAAUAAAACUUACUGUAUGAUGGCGCUUGGAUAAAUUGGGCUGCUGCGUCACGAAGAGAGGGAUCCGCGCUGCAUUAGUUAGUUGGUGGGGUAAAGGCCUACCAAGACGAUGAUGCAUAGCCGAGUUGAGAGACUGAUCGGCCACAUUGGGACUGAGACACGGACCAAGCUCCUACGGGAGGCUGCAGUAGGGAACUUUCCACAGUGGGCGAAAACCUGAUGGAGCAACGCCGAGUGUGUGAUGAAGGCUUUCGGGUCGUAAAGCACUGUUGUAUGGGAAGAACAGCUAGAACAGGAGAUGAUUUUAGUUUGACGGUAACAUAUAAGAAAGGACCGGCUAACUACGUG
Molecule: ribosomal RNA, 497 nt
Filed under: uncultured bacterium
Lineage: Bacteria
Description: partial 16S ribosomal RNA
Rfam family: Bacterial small subunit ribosomal RNA
Source: RNAcentral